This 230-nucleotide unclassified non-coding RNA is filed under the name Fusicolla melogrammae. RNAcentral describes it as "partial contains small subunit ribosomal RNA, internal transcribed spacer 1, and 5.8S ribosomal RNA". The stretch from base 1 to 46 matches the Rfam family "Eukaryotic small subunit ribosomal RNA", at positions 1786 to 1831 of the family's 1831-position model. The record is from RNAcentral. Lineage: Eukaryota; Fungi; Ascomycota; Sordariomycetes; Hypocreales; Nectriaceae. RNAcentral also lists the same sequence under 1 other name.
AAGUCGUAACAAGGUCUCCGUUGGUGAACCAGCGGAGGGAUCAUUACCGAGUUUACAACUCCCAAACCCCUGUGAACAUACCUAUCGUUGCUUCGGCGGGAUCGCCCCGGCGCCAUCGCGGCCCGGACCCAGGCGCCCGCCGGAGGACCCAAACCCUUGAAUUUAUGAAGUAUCUUCUGAGUAAACAAGCAAAUAAAUUAAAACUUUCAACAACGGAUCUCUUGGUUCUG